This 1224-nucleotide ribosomal RNA is filed under the name Meyerozyma guilliermondii. Its description in RNAcentral is "SSU rRNA". It matches the Rfam family "Eukaryotic small subunit ribosomal RNA", at positions 55 to 1267 of the family's 1831-position model. Lineage: Eukaryota; Fungi; Ascomycota; Pichiomycetes; Serinales; Debaryomycetaceae. The record is from RNAcentral.
AUGCGUAGUGAUCGUCUUUUCGGGUCGUGUCGUAAGUAUAAGCAAUUUAUACAGUGAAACUGCGAAUGGCUCAUUAAAUCAGUUAUCGUUUAUUUGAUAGUACCUUUACUACUUGGAUAACCGUGGUAAUUCUAGAGCUAAUACAUGCUAAAAAUCCCGACUGUUUGGAAGGGAUGUAUUUAUUAGAUAAAAAAUCAAUGCUCUUUGAGCUCUUUGAUGAUUCAUAAUAACUUUUCGAAUCGCAUGGCCUUGUGCUGGCGAUGGUUCAUUCAAAUUUCUGCCCUAUCAACUUUCGAUGGUAGGAUAGUGGCCUACCAUGGUUUCAACGGGUAACGGGGAAUAAGGGUUCGAUUCCGGAGAGGGAGCCUGAGAAACGGCUACCACAUCCAAGGAAGGCAGCAGGCGCGCAAAUUACCCAAUCCCGACACGGGGAGGUAGUGACAAUACAUAACGAUACAGGGCCCUUUCGGGUCUUGUAAUUGGAAUGAGUACAAUGUAAAUACCUUAACGAGGAACAAUUGGAGGGCAAGUCUGGUGCCAGCAGCCGCGGUAAUUCCAGCUCCAAUAGCGUAUAUUAAAGUUGUUGCAGUUAAAAAGCUCGUAGUUGAACUUUGGGCUUGGUUGGCCGGUCCGCCUUUUUGGCGAGUACUGGACCCAACCGAGCCUUUCCUUCUGGCUAACCAUUCGCCCUUGUGGUGUUUGGCGAACCAGGACUUUUACUUUGAAAAAAUUAGAGUGUUCAAAGCAGGCCUUUGCUCGAAUAUAUUAGCAUGGAAUAAUAGAAUAGGACGUUAUGGUUCUAUUUUGUUGGUUUCUAGGACCAUCGUAAUGAUUAAUAGGGACGGUCGGGGGCAUCAGUAUUCAGUUGUCAGAGGUGAAAUUCUUAGAUUUACUGAAGACUAACUACUGCGAAAGCAUUUGCCAAGGACGUUUUCAUUAAUCAAGAACGAAAGUUAGGGGAUCGAAGAUGAUCAGAUACCGUCGUAGUUCUUAACCAUAAACUAUGCCGACUAGGGAUCGGUGUUGUUCUUUUUUUGACGCCACUCGGCACUUACGAGAAAUCAAAGUCUUUGGGUUCUGGGGGAGUAUUGGUCGCAGGCUGAACUUAAAGAUUGACGGAGGGCACCACCAAGAGUGAGCCUGCCGCUAUUUGGACCUCACACAGGGCACCUCACCAAGUCGACCAUUAUGCAUUGGACAGAUUGAGAAGCUCUUUCUUUGAAU